UUUCUUUCUUGUUUCUUCUUCUCUUUCAUUCAUCUCUUUCUUUCUUCUUCUUCUUUGUUCCUCUUCUCUUUCUCUCUGUCGAUCUCAGAGUUAUUUUUGUGUGAGAUGUUCAUAAAUAGUUAGUUAGCUUGUCGAAUCGAAGAGAGUGAAGUUAGAACUAGAUUUGCUUGAGCUCCAGGAGCAGAAGAAGAUGGUGUAGAUGUUGAUUUGAGGUUAGGAUUUCUGGAAUUAGGGUUCUUGUAGAACUGAUGAUGACAAAGUGACGUUCUGGGAUGAAGAUUCGAGGGGUGGUUGUUGGAUUGAUUAGGUGAUGUUGUUCUAAUGAUGAAUCAACCGGAAGAAGGAUUGCUUAAUUUGAAUUGCAAUUGAAGAUAAUGUGCAAAAGAAUGGGAUGGAGUUUAGUUGAUGGUGGUUUUGGAAGGUCAGUUUACGGGGAACUGAAAUAUGUAUGAAGUAUGUUGGUGAUGAAUUAGUGGUUGUGGUGAUGCUGCUCAGUUGGUUGUGGUGAUGUUGUUUUGAUUACUUAUGUUGACAUGAGUUGUGGAUGUAGCUGUUAGUGCUGAUGAAGAGGUUUGUAGAUGUAAAGAAUUGAACUGAGUUGAAUUGGUGGUGAGGAUGACAUGGUCAUGGAACUGGAUUGGAACACAGUUAAUUGGUUGAUGAUGAUGUGAAUGAAGGUGGUUGUGUGUUGAUCAAGAUAAGAUGUUGAAUCACAGAUGUGGAAGGUGAGUUAAAUGGUGGUGGUUUGAGAGUUGUUUGUGGAUGAGCUGAAAUGCAAGUUGGAAUGACUCAAGACAAGUUUUAAGGCUCAAGUUAUUAGACUUAAUCAUAUCAUAGAUAGUGAAGUUGUGAAACUGGAUUUAGUUGUAAUGCCGAGAAUAGUGAUUAUAGUGAUGUAGGUAGUGAUUCUGUUGUGUUGCUAGUUAGAGAUAGAGGUCUUGCAGAUGAGAAUGUUUGUAUAGUUGCAUUGGUAGAUGUUGUAGUGGUGGGUUAGGUUUGUAAUUGAGUUUCAGGGUUUUAGUAUUUGCUAUUGUAUUGCAUCUUUGUUUGGGUAA
Molecule: long non-coding RNA, 1055 nt
Organism: Papaver somniferum (opium poppy)
Lineage: Eukaryota; Viridiplantae; Streptophyta; Magnoliopsida; Ranunculales; Papaveraceae
Exons: 2
Source: RefSeq, a predicted model, not a curated record